RNAcentral lists this ribosomal RNA (254 nucleotides) under uncultured microorganism. RNAcentral describes it as "partial 16S ribosomal RNA". It matches the Rfam family "Archaeal small subunit ribosomal RNA", at positions 474 to 727 of the family's 1478-position model. The record is from RNAcentral.
CACCGGCGGCUCGAGUGGUGGCCACUUUUAUUGGGUCUAAAGCGGCCGUAGACGGCUUGGCAAGUCCCCUGGGAAAUCUGGCGGCUUAACCGUCAGGCGUCCAGAGGAUACUGCCAGGCUUGGGACCGGGAGAGGUGAGAGGUACCUCAGGGGUAGGGGUGAAAUCUUGUGAUCCCUGAGGGACCACCAGUGGCGAAGGCGUCUCACUAGAACGGGUCCGACCGUCAGGGACGAAAGCUGGGGGCACGAACCGG